Molecule: ribosomal RNA, 388 nt
Filed under: Gephyrocapsa cf. muellerae
Lineage: Eukaryota; Haptophyta; Isochrysidales; Noelaerhabdaceae
Description: partial small subunit ribosomal RNA
Rfam family: Eukaryotic small subunit ribosomal RNA
Source: RNAcentral
AUUCCAGCUCCAAUAGCGUAUAUUAAAGUUGUUGCAGUUAAAACGCUCGUAGUCGGAUUUCGGGGCGGGCCGACCGGUCUGCCGAUGGGUAUGCACUGGCCGGCGCGUCCUUCCACCCGGAGACCGCGCCUACUCUUAACUGAGCGGGCGCGGGAGACGGGUCUUUUACUUUGAAAAAAUCAGAGUGUUUCAAGCAGGCAGUCGCUCUUGCAUGGAUUAGCAUGGGAUAAUGAAAUAGGACUCUGGUGCUGUUUUGUUGGUUUCGAACACCGGAGUAAUGAUUAACAGGGACAGUCGGGGGCAUUUGUAUUCAAACGACAGAGGUGAAAUUCUUGGACCGUUUGAAGACAAACUACUGCGAAAGCAUUUGCCAAGAAUGUUUUCAUCA